GUCGAGAAUAAUUCACAAUGGGGGAAACCCUGAUGGUGCAACGCCGCGUGGAGGAUGAAGGUCUUCGGAUUGUAAACUCCUGUCAUCGGGGAGUAAGACCUGGCGGUAAAUAGCCGACAGGGUUGAUAGUACCCGAAGAGGAAGGGACGGCUAACUUCGUGCCAGCAGCCGCGGUAAUACGAAGGUCCCAAGCGUUGUUCGGAAUCACUGGGCGUAAAGGGAGCGUAGGCGGCGUGGUAAGUCAGAUGUGAAAUCCCGGGGCUCAACCCCGGAACUGCAUCCGAUACUGCCAUGCUUGAGGGUUGGAGAGGUAGCUGGAAUUCUCGGUGUAGCAGUGAAAUGCGUGGAUAUCGAGAGGAACACUCGUGGCGAAGGCGAGCUACUGGACAACAUCUGACGCUGAGGCUCGAAGGCCAGGGGAGCAAAAGGGAUUAGAAACCCCUGUAGUCC
RNAcentral lists this ribosomal RNA (450 nucleotides) under uncultured bacterium. RNAcentral describes it as "partial 16S ribosomal RNA". It matches the Rfam family "Bacterial small subunit ribosomal RNA", at positions 354 to 796 of the family's 1533-position model. The record is from RNAcentral.